GCCUCCCGGUUUUCAUCCAAAAUAUCUUAAAUUUUUUCCGAAGAUGAACGAAGCUUUUACAGACUUGGAAUGACAUUGGGGUAAGUGAUUAAUGAAAAAAAAAAUAAUUUUGGGGUGGAGUAACCCUUUAAGCUUCAACACGCAUGUCUGAAACACAGGAGCAGGACUGGACUGAACUCUGCAGGAAUGGCGCUUCCAGAGAAGGACUGGACACCUCUAUUGCAGGGGUCUUGCAUAGGUGUAACAGUCAUGCUUCAGAUGUUUGCAGGAAAAUGGACAGCUGUAAGAAACUUGCUGCUUGAAGCUCUGACCUUGUUUUGCUUGCCGUCUGCACAGCUUCAGACUCUCAGGUGGCUGUGAGAUACUGCAUGCAGGCUGGGAGUGGGCGCAGAGGCCUGACACUCCCGCCUACACAGGCAUACGGACCAGCGCAGAUCCGCGACCAGUUCUGCAGUUACUGGAACUGACUAAGGCUGGAGGUCUGAGAAAAGCAGCCGCUCUUAGCCCCUGCUAGUAGAUGUCGCAAGUAGACCAUCUGGCUGCAUAUAUCUUUCCAGAGAGAUCAGAUUGGCUACCAGGCAUUUACUUUCGGGGGUCCAAGCUUCACAAUGGAGAUGAAUGGGAAUGCCAAUGGCUAACUUUCUGCAUUAUUAUAGGACGUACUUAGGCUAACAGUGAUGUUUCGGCGGUCUUGUGUUCCACCAAGCAAAGUGUCACAUUCCAGAAGGGUGAGGUUGUUAAAUCAGUUGACUGGGAAAGCGAGGGUGAGGCAUGGGCACAGGGUUCUCUCACAGAGUGAAACCCUGUACACAAACUCUACAGCAUGGUUUCAGUAAAGCCAUGUUUGACUGAUCAUAAUACAUUUGUAUGGUGUAAAGGUUUAAAUCUAUGGCUAGAGAAGUUGAGGCGCACUCAUUUUGAGGAGGCAGUGUUUUUCUAAGGGGAAACAUCCUUUGUAAGGCACAUCAAGAAUUGACUGACAGUUCAAAUAACCUUCCCCCUAAACAUGCCAGAAUCCAAAGACUUCCUGUACAGUUUCCAGCAUAUGACUUCAUGUCACCUAGAAGUGUCUAGUCUUAAACUUACCAAUCAAGAAACACAUUCCUUCUCCGCCCCCAUCACAUUUUC
Molecule: long non-coding RNA, 1128 nt
Organism: Cyprinus carpio carpio
Lineage: Eukaryota; Metazoa; Chordata; Actinopteri; Cypriniformes; Cyprinidae
Source: Ensembl